Molecule: long non-coding RNA, 222 nt
Organism: Lemur catta (Ring-tailed lemur)
Lineage: Eukaryota; Metazoa; Chordata; Mammalia; Primates; Lemuridae
Exons: 3
Source: RefSeq, a predicted model, not a curated record
CUGUUAGGAACCAGGCCGCACAGCAGGAGUUUUUUGCCUAGAUGAGAGACAGAGAAAGAGAGAGAGAGAAAAAAUCACUCCACCUGUCCUGCAGGGGAGGCUGUUGGCAAAGUCUUCGUGUAGUGUAAAUCAUCGAAUCGAACGUUUCCUGCCAUUACUGACAUAUGUUUACGGAGUGCCUGUUGGUUCUCAUCCAGGAUCCCACAUUGCAUUUAGCAGUCG